CCUACGGGUGGCAGCAGUCGAGAAUCAUUCACAAUGGGGGAGACCCUGAUGGUGCGACGCCGCGUGGGGGAAUGAAGGUCUUCGGAUUGUAAACCUCUGUCAUGUGGGAGCAAAUUAAAAAGCUAGUACCAUAAGAGGAAGAGAUGGCUAACUCUGUGCCAGUAGCCGCGGUAAUACAGAGGUCUCAAGCGUUGUGCGGAAUCAAUUGGCGUAAAGCGUGCGUAGGCUGUUUCGUAAGUCGGUUGUGAAAGGCUCGGGCUAAACCCGCGGACGGCACAUGAUACUGCGAGACUAGAGUAAUGGAGAGGGAGCCGGAAUUCGCGGUGUAGCAGUGAAAUGCGUAGAUAUCGAGAGGAACACUGGUGGCGAAGGCAGGUUACUGGACAUUCACUGACGCUGAGGCACGAAAGCCAGGGGAGCGAAAGGGAUUAGAUACCCGGGUAGUC
This 446-nucleotide ribosomal RNA is filed under the name uncultured bacterium. RNAcentral's name for it is "partial 16S ribosomal RNA". It matches the Rfam family "Bacterial small subunit ribosomal RNA", at positions 338 to 795 of the family's 1533-position model. The record is from RNAcentral.